Molecule: ribosomal RNA, 378 nt
Filed under: Rickettsia endosymbiont of Ixodes persulcatus
Lineage: Bacteria; Pseudomonadati; Pseudomonadota; Alphaproteobacteria; Rickettsiales; Rickettsiaceae
Description: partial 23S ribosomal RNA
Rfam family: Bacterial large subunit ribosomal RNA
Source: RNAcentral
AGUAAAUAUAAUAAGAGCAUUUGGUGGAUGCCUUGGCACUAGAAGGCGAUGAAGGACGUAAUACGCUGCGAUAAGCUUCGGGGAGUUGUGAAUAAGCUUUGAUCCGAAGAUUUCCGAAUGGGGAAACCCACCUAAUUUAUUAGGUAUUGUAUAGUGAAUACAUAGCUAUAUGAGGCAAACCCAGCGAACUGAAAUAUCUAAGUAGCUGGAGGAAAGGACAUCAACCGAGACUCCGUUAGUAGUGGGUUCGGUCCUUCAGCGGAUUUUACUCCGCUUUCAACCUGGCCAUGGCUAGAUCACCCGGUUUCGGGUCUAAUUCAUCUAACUAAAGCGCCCUAUUCAGACUCGCUUUCGCUACGCCUACACCUAACGGCUUAA